CUCGGAGACCAGUGCCGCUGCCUUUCCUGCUCUAGCCCCAGUCCUGCAGAUUAUCCCAGGAGGAAAUCCCUGGGACCGGUACCAGAGACUCCAGGGAAGAAGCUCCUACAGGAGGCGGGCAACAUGAACUCGAACCUGGAACAGACGCCAAAACCAUCGCCAGUGCCCAGGUCAAUGGGGAGGGGGAGGGUCCCAGACUUAGUGGCUGGACACUCAGGGCCCUGAUGCCCGGUCCUGUGUGGCCACUGGGGGAAAUGGCUGUAAGCCUGUGUCCCUAAAGGCUGUGUCACCUAAGAUUUGUGUAAAUAGGUGUCAUCAGGGCUGCUGUGGAACAUUCUAGACUGGAACUUCUACAAUGGGAGAUGGGUCCUCCCAGGUAUGUUCACUUGGAAGAAUCAGGAGGGAUGUGACAGUCACCAGGCACAGAUGCCAUCAGGGCCUGAGGGAGCAUGAGGAUCUGGGCCUCACUGUCACCCCUGAGUGGGGACCAGGGUGUGUGGUCCUGCCCACUCACCUCAGCAGGGGCCAUUGCUGGUUGUCAGUAGGGAACUGGGCUUCCCACCACCCCCUUGCAGGGCAGAGGAGGAUCUGGAACCUUCCCCUAGAGUCAGACAGUGGAGGAAGCAGGUGAGUUAGGAGAUGGAGGUGGGAGCACUUGGUUGAUGGGCAGCCAGGAGGCACCCAGGCUCUGAGUGCUGCAGCUGACAGUGGUCAGAGUGGUCCUCUGGGAAUCCAGCCUUGUCCCUGCAAAUGUUCAUGAACUUCCCACCUCUGUGCUCCUCAGUUCCCUUCCUGAGCUCCUAGCCACAGCCACCCUCACAGCUGAGGCCCUGGGUCCUACACCAGCACUUUGUCCCCAUCUCACUGUGCAGCUCUGUGUGGCUGCCCACCUCUCUCCUACCCCAGGUCUUCUGAGUGGCUGCCUUACACCCCUGUCCACACCAUUGUAAAUGACCAGCUGAAGGCAGAGUCCUUCUUCCUGGUAGGUUGUGAAACUGGCACUGAGGCCCCUGAGUCCUGAUUAUCAGUGAGUCCCCAGGAGGUGGCAGUAGCUGAGCACAGCUGGAGAGCCAGGGAGUGGGGGUGAGUGGGACCUAGGAAUGACUGAACUUGCUAGUGUAGAUGGCAGGUGGCUUGUGCUGUGGGAACAGGGAAUUUAAUGGGAAAUGUGAGGUGUUUUCUUAUUUCUUAGUUUUGGGGGUUUGGAGCUGCAGGUUCCCCUGAAUGUCACUGUCAACCUCAGUGCUAUACAUGCAUGGCAAGACUUCAGGUUCCACACUCUGAUGCAGGUUGGUACUGGGAGCACCAUCAGCCUGGCCCAGGGACCCUCUGCAUGUGCAGCUGCUGCAGACAGCUGUGCUCUCUGUUGAGAAUAGAGCUUCUUCCUCCUUGGGGGUCAGAACUUGGGUCUGUGUUGCCCGACCCUCCCAGCAGACCCACACGUCUCCCCCUCUCAGUCCUCACAGAAGUCCAUGAGCUGACUGCCCAGGGGCAUCGUACCUGUCAUUUGCUGUGUGCUUCUGAUACCUUCCUGGCACAAGAUCCUGCAGGUACCCCGAGGGGAGGGUGUGUGUGUGUGUGUGUGUGUGUGUGUGUGUUUGGCACCUGCACAGGAGUGUGCUAUCAGGGUGUGGGAAUUUUAAAAUCAUUCAAAAUAUAUUUGUUUUUUUUUUCAAAAUGUCAACAGUUUUUACUAAGCAAAUAAAUAUAGUUAUUUAUGUAUAUUUAUUAAUCAAAUAAUAUAAU
This 1746-nucleotide long non-coding RNA is filed under the name Marmota monax (woodchuck). Lineage: Eukaryota; Metazoa; Chordata; Mammalia; Rodentia; Sciuridae. The record is from RNAcentral.